CCUACGGGUGGCUGCAGUGGGGAAUAUUGGACAAUGGGGGGAACCCUGAUCCAGCCAUGCCGCGUGUGUGAAGAAGGCCCUCGGGUUGUAAAGCACUUUCAGUGAGGAAGAACGCCUGGUGGUUAAUACCCAUCAGGAAAGACAUCACUCACAGAAGAAGCACCGGCUAACUCCGUGCCAGCAGCCGCGGUAAUACGUAGGGUGCGAGCGUUAAUCGGAAUUACUGGGCGUAAAGCGCGCGUAGGUGGCUUGAUAAGCCGGUUGUGAAAGCCCCGGGCUCAACCUGGGAACGGCAUCCGGAACUGUCAAGCUAGAGUGCAGGAGAGGAAGGUAGAAUUCCCGGUGUAGCGGUGAAAUGCGUAGAGAUCGGGAGGAAUACCAGUGGCGAAGGCGGCCUUCUGGACUGACACUGACACUGAGGUGCGAAAGCGUGGGUAGCAAACAGGAUUAGAUACCCUAGUAGUC
This 465-nucleotide ribosomal RNA is filed under the name Vreelandella stevensii. RNAcentral's name for it is "partial 16S ribosomal RNA". It matches the Rfam family "Bacterial small subunit ribosomal RNA", at positions 338 to 795 of the family's 1533-position model. Lineage: Bacteria; Pseudomonadati; Pseudomonadota; Gammaproteobacteria; Oceanospirillales; Halomonadaceae. The record is from RNAcentral.